GACGAACGCUGGCGGCGUGCUUAACACAUGCAAGUCGAGCGGUAAGGCCCUUUCGGGGGUACACGAGCGGCGAACGGGUGAGUAACACGUGGGUGACCUGCCCUUAGCUCUGGGAUAAGCCUGGGAAACUGGGUCUAAUACCGGAUAUGACUCCAUGACGCAUGUUGUGGGGUGGAAAGCCUUGUGCGGCUAGGGAUGGGCCCGCGGCCUAUCAGCUUGUUGGUGGGGUGAUGGCCACCAAGGCGACGACGGGUAGCCGGCCUGAGAGGGCGACCGGCCACACUGGGUACUGAGACACGGCCCAGACUCCUACGGGAGGCAGCAGUGGGGAAUCUUGCGCAAUGGGCGAAAGCCUGACGCAGCGACGCCGCGUGGGGAUGACGGCCUCGGUU
RNAcentral lists this ribosomal RNA (392 nucleotides) under uncultured bacterium. RNAcentral's name for it is "bacterial SSU rRNA". It matches the Rfam family "Bacterial small subunit ribosomal RNA", at positions 28 to 424 of the family's 1533-position model. The record is from RNAcentral.